UAGAGAUCAAGAACCAGGAGUAUGUUAAGUGGCCGAAGACAAUGAAGCCAAAUACUCAUAGAAAUAUGAACAAAAAUUGCCAAUUCCAUCAUGACUACAGGCAUGAUACCAAGGACUGCCACCAACUGAAGAACGAGACUGAAGCUCUCAUUAAAUGGGCCUUCCUUGGUCCCACAUUAGCUACUUAUAGGAUAGAGAUGAUCUAGUCAAAGGCACUCUGCUCUCAACUUGUUGCUUGACAACUGAUCUACCAUUAGAGUCAUCCACACCAUUGGUGGUGGACCAACAACCAGUGGUACCAACUCAUCUAUAAGGAAGACUUAUGCCCAUGCAACCU
This 337-nucleotide long non-coding RNA is filed under the name Elaeis guineensis (African oil palm). RNAcentral's name for it is "long non-coding RNA (EGUI_LNC069620)". Lineage: Eukaryota; Viridiplantae; Streptophyta; Magnoliopsida; Arecales; Arecaceae. The record is from RNAcentral.